RNAcentral lists this ribosomal RNA (1448 nucleotides) under Kocuria sp. RNAcentral's name for it is "bacterial SSU rRNA". It matches the Rfam family "Bacterial small subunit ribosomal RNA". The record is from RNAcentral. Lineage: Bacteria; Bacillati; Actinomycetota; Actinomycetes; Micrococcales; Micrococcaceae.
GACGAACGCUGGCGGCGUGCUUAACACAUGCAAGUCGAACGAUGAUGCCCAGCUUGCUGGGCGGAUUAGUGGCGAACGGGUGAGUAAUACGUGAGUAACCUGCCCUUGACUCUGGGAUAAGCCUGGGAAACUGGGUCUAAUACUGGAUACUACCUCUUACCGCAUGGUGGGUGGUGGAAAGGGUUUUACUGGUUUUGGAUGGGCUCACGGCCUAUCAGCUUGUUGGUGGGGUAAUGGCUCACCAAGGCGACGACGGGUAGCCGGCCUGAGAGGGUGACCGGCCACACUGGGACUGAGACACGGCCCAGACUCCUACGGGAGGCAGCAGUGGGGAAUAUUGCACAAUGGGCGGAAGCCUGAUGCAGCGACGCCGCGUGAGGGAUGACGGCCUUCGGGUUGUAAACCUCUUUCAGUAGGGAAGAAGCGAGAGUGACGGUACCUGCAGAAGAAGCGCCGGCUAACUACGUGCCAGCAGCCGCGGUAAUACGUAGGGCGCAAGCGUUGUCCGGAAUUAUUGGGCGUAAAGAGCUCGUAGGCGGUUUGUCGCGUCUGCUGUGAAAGCCCGGGGCUCAACCCCGGGUCUGCAGUGGGUACGGGCAGACUAGAGUGCAGUAGGGGAGACUGGAAUUCCUGGUGUAGCGGUGAAAUGCGCAGAUAUCAGGAGGAACACCGAUGGCGAAGGCAGGUCUCUGGGCUGUUACUGACGCUGAGGAGCGAAAGCAUGGGGAGCGAACAGGAUUAGAUACCCUGGUAGUCCAUGCCGUAAACGUUGGGCACUAGGUGUGGGGGACAUUCCACGUUUUCCGCGCCGUAGCUAACGCAUUAAGUGCCCCGCCUGGGGAGUACGGCCGCAAGGCUAAAACUCAAAGGAAUUGACGGGGGCCCGCACAAGCGGCGGAGCAUGCGGAUUAAUUCGAUGCAACGCGAAGAACCUUACCAAGGCUUGACAUUCACCGGACCGCCCCAGAGAUGGGGUUUCCCUUCGGGGCUGGUGGACAGGUGGUGCAUGGUUGUCGUCAGCUCGUGUCGUGAGAUGUUGGGUUAAGUCCCGCAACAAGCGCAACCCUCGUUCUAUGUUGCCAGCACGUGAUGGUGGGGACUCAUAGGAGACUGCCGGGGUCAACUCGGAGGAAGGUGGGGAUGACGUCAAAUCAUCAUGCCCCUUAUGUCUUGGGCUUCACGCAUGCUACAAUGGCCGGUACAAAGGGUUGCGAUACUGUGAGGUGGAGCUAAUCCCAAAAAGCCGGUCUCAGUUCGGAUUGAGGUCUGCAACUCGACCUCAUGAAGUCGGAGUCGCUAGUAAUCGCAGAUCAGCAACGCUGCGGUGAAUACGUUCCCGGGCCUUGUACACACCGCCCGUCAAGUCACGAAAGUUGGUAACACCCGAAGCCGGUGGCCUAACCCCUUGUGGGAGGGAGCCGUCGAAGGUGGGACUGGCGAUUGGGACU